This is a non-coding RNA of Tetranychus urticae (two-spotted spider mite), 445 nucleotides long. The record is from RefSeq and is a predicted model, not a curated record. NCBI's taxonomy places the organism in Eukaryota, Metazoa, Arthropoda, Arachnida, Trombidiformes, Tetranychidae.
UAGCGCCUUCACCAUUAUCAACAAGAAUAAUCUUUCUUGGCCUUCUCAAUGUUCAUGUAACUUUAAACAUAAUCAUAAUUACAUUAACUUUUAUCUAUCCUCAACGAUUGGAUCAAAUGAUUCGUAACAACAUCCACAAACUGUUGACUCGAUCUAUCAUAAAACCAGCCAUUAAGAUUAAACUGGAAGAAGCUUUGUUCAUGAUGGAAUCUUAUCCAAUGGGAUUCCGAUGUUUCCAUUUUUUCAGAUUCAAUUCAUCAAGCUUAUUAUUGACUUUACUUGAACUUGGUGCUCAUAUGUUACUGAUUGUACUAGCUGUGCCGAGAGUAAAUCAUUGAAUCUAUUGCCAAAUGCUAGCAUGUUAACCUAAUGGAUUGCUAGAAUGAACCCGAAACGUACAUUACCUGACAAAUCAUUGAUACUAAUCUGUUUUGUGAACUAAUCU